This 500-nucleotide ribosomal RNA is filed under the name uncultured bacterium. RNAcentral describes it as "partial 16S ribosomal RNA". It matches the Rfam family "Bacterial small subunit ribosomal RNA", at positions 30 to 523 of the family's 1533-position model. The record is from RNAcentral.
AUUGAACGCUGGCGGCAGGCCUAACACAUUCAAGUCGAGCGGAUGAGGGGAGCUUGCUUCCUGAUUCAGCGGCGGACGGGUGAGUAAUGCCUAGGAAUCUGCCUGGUAGUGGGGGACAACGUUUCGAAAGGAACGCUAAUACCGCAUACGUCCUACGGGAGAAAGGGGGGGAUCUUCGGACCUCACGCUAUCAGAUGAGCCUAGGUCGGAUUAGCUAGUCGGUGAGGUAAAGGCUCACCAAGGCGACGAUCCGUAACUGGUCUGAGAGGAUGAUCAGUCACACUGGAACUGAGACACGGUCCAGACUCCUACGGGAGGCAGCAGUGGGGAAUAUUGGACAAUGGGCGAAAGCCUGAUCCAGCCAUGCCGCGUGUGUGAAGAAGGUCUUCGGAUUGUAAAGCACUUUAAGUUGGGAGGAAGGGCUGUAGGCUAAUAUCCUGCAGUUUUGACGUUACCGACAGAAUAAGCACCGGCUAACUUCGUGCCAGCCGCCGCCGUAA